AGGUGCUGUGGUACCACCCUGCAGGGCAGUGCUGCCCUUAUCAAGCACACUGAAGUUGCAGAGGGUUUGCUUUGCUUUUUCCUUCUCUGCAGAGGGGAAAAGAGUUGAAGCCUACGAAGGCCCAAGGCGCCAUGUAACCCCGUCUCUUUCUGUUCCCUCCAUGGUGGUCUUCUGCACCUUUCCACUGGAAAUGUCAUUCACUGAGAGGCUUCCAAUUUCCUUUGUCUUUUUCCUGACAUCUGUUUUUAUGGUACCCGUGUUUCUGCAGUUUUGCUGCAGACAAAAUGAAUUCAGUUUUAUUCUUGCUUUACAGCAAGAAGACAAUGAAAAGCAAGAAGAGUGGAACUGAAGAAGGCUGCUCUGAGAGCUGCUGCUGCACAUGCAGAGUUCUCCGCAAUGAACAGCCUUGUGGAGAUGAUGCAGAAGCUGCAGCUGAAGGACUGAGAGGAUGAGCAUCAGCAGGCAGCGCUGCAGUGCGGCGUUACAGGGCAGCGUUCCGAGUGCCACCAACUCGGCACCACAAGUUUGGUUGUAGUCAAUAAAAAACAGCCACAAUUAGACAUCGACAAAGAGCGCAUGGCCUGAUUUGUCCCAUGGCAUUCCAUGAGCUGCUGUACUCCUACUGGUCCAGAGUAGAACCUAUGCAGCUUUGGAGCACCAAGCCGCCAUCCUGGCACGGUUUUUGGAGGCAGUGCUCAAAGGUCUGGGCUGUAAUACCCCUGACAAUGAAAACACAACUUGCAUUUUAACGCAACACUGCUGUGCUUUGUACCAAAUCAGUGCUCCUUGGGUCUCUGAGGUAGGACAGAGUGAAGGGGAGCGGCGUAAAGCUGUGUGCAGGAAAUCUGAGGGUGGGAGGGCACUGCCAAAACCAGCUGGUGCAUCUCUGUGCAGUUUUGCCUUCCCAGGAGGAACCCAGAGCUUCCCAGUAGUUUUCUGCUCCUGUACUGCAGUGUGAGCAUAAGGUUCUGCUGCCUCCUUCUUCUGGAAGAUCCUCUGCUGCCAUGGACAUCUGACACAGGCACCUGUCCUUUUCUGUUUGUUUUUCAAUCAGGACACAUUAUGCCUGUUGUGUUUGCUGCACGUUACUUACCAAAGUCACCACGAAAGGGUUUUGAUUUUCCUGCAGUCAGAUUUGCUCUCACGUAACAAGCUUCUAUAGCAAAGUCCAUCUGACUUUUGAAAUUAUUUUGUUGAGGUUCAAGACAUUCUAUUCUUUAUAGUCUUUAUAACACCACCCUUCCCUCCUGCUUAUAAGUUCCCAUUUAAUUACUGGAAGGCCACAUCAGGUUUCCCCAGAGCAUUCUCUUCUCCAGACUGAACAAGCCCAGCUCUCACUGCUGGCUGUGGUGAAGUUUUUCAUCCACCAGGACGCUGAAGUCCUUCUCAGCAGGGCCGCCCUCCAUGAGUUCUUCUCCCAGCCUGCACACAUAUCUGGGGUUGCCCUGACCCAGGUGCAACACCCUACACUUGACCUUGCUGAAUCUCAUUAGGUUCAGGUGCUCCCUCCCACAUGAAGCUUUUGAAACAGCUUUGUGAAGAAAUGAAAGAACCUUGAGAACAACAAGAGUUCUUUCAGGCUGGACAUUAGGAAAAACUCCUCCAUAAGAGUGGUUGGGCCCUGGACAGACUGCCCAGGGAGGGACUGCAGUCAGAUUCCCUGGAGGCAUUCAGGAAAUGUUUAGGUGUGCGUAUGGGAACUGCUAAGUGAGAGUCUGAACCUCUGAUUGAUCACCUGAGGCGAGCCAUGAGUCAGCCAGAGGAGCACAGUGAAGGCCAUUCAGCUGUGCUGCCCUCCUGGACGUAUUUAAGAGCUGGCUGCCAGUGGGGAAGGAGCUCUUCUGGAGAUUGGCCCUGCUGGAGUUUUGUGAGUGAGCCCUGGGUAGGGCCAAUGAUUUUCUGUACAAGAGAAACUACUCAAAAAACAGGACAGUUCUUCUCCCGGAUGCAUACCCUGGGGAGGAUUUCAGUGCUUGGCUGACGGAGUUUUUGGCCGUUCUGUGGCAUGGAAUGCAACCAGCAUGGAAGCAUCGUUUGUCGCUGUGGAUUCUGAGUAAGAUUUCUCACCCUCUGCUCAUGAUGCAGUGGUGACCAGCUCAGAUGUGUUGGAUGGUAUCGUGGACGUUGAGGAGCUGCUCACCUGGAUCAGCGACGUGGCAGGUGCUCUCGAGGAUCCCUAGGAGAACCAAGGUGGUUACAAAGUCAGAGAGAAAUACCUGAAGGGUGACCUGCUUCAGGACGAGCUGCUGGGGGAGGUAGACAGCCAGGAAAGAGAACAACUCAUUGCAUGGAUCAGUGCCACGGAGCCACAAAGCCCUGAUGUCUCCAGCAGGCCUGCCCCUCCUUGCUUCAUCGCCCAGCUCCUCGACUUCCCACAGUACAGCAGGAGGUCAGCGAGGAAGCACGGGCUGCUGCCUGGACCCCCCCGACCCACUGUGGGGGCUGCUGCCAUCCCUCGGGCAGCUCUCCAUGCUGCAGGGCUGGCCUUUGCUGCUGCCUGCUGUGGCACCACCAGAACUACCACUGCCGACCCCUCUGGCUGCUUCUGUGCCUCCUUUGCUCCACCCUGCACAGCGCGUGGAUGUGGUGGAUUUCACAGUUGCUUGUUUUUUAAAGCAAUCUCUUAUGGGGAACCAUACAGAAAAACUCA
Long non-coding RNA from Lagopus muta (rock ptarmigan), 2650 nucleotides. RefSeq lists it as uncharacterized. The transcript is spliced from 6 exons. The record is from RefSeq and is a predicted model, not a curated record. NCBI's taxonomy places the organism in Eukaryota, Metazoa, Chordata, Aves, Galliformes, Phasianidae.